Molecule: long non-coding RNA, 255 nt
Filed under: Homo sapiens (human)
Lineage: Eukaryota; Metazoa; Chordata; Mammalia; Primates; Hominidae
Description: non-protein coding lnc-MID1IP1-5:1
Source: RNAcentral
UGAGCUACAGCUGCAACAUGAUGGCCAGUUUGAGAACUUCCAGUUGGCUCUGCAGUUAGACUCCCAACAGCUGAGAUCCCAUGGUUGAAAUCUGGUUUUAUCUUUUGCUCUAGUGCCCUUUCCCCAUUUACAUACAGAAACACUUGGUUGUUAAAAAAUUAUGUCUAGUGAUACGCAUAUGUCAAAAAUCACAUACCCCAUAAAUAUAUAAAAUUAUUAAUUAAAUAUUAAAAGGGUGUGGUUCGGUGACUUGAG